AUUGAACGCUGGCGGCAUGCCUUACACAUGCAAGUCGAACGGCAGCACGGGUGCUUGCCCCUGGUGGCGAGUGGCGAACGGGUGAGUAAUACAUCGGAACAUGUCCUGUAGUGGGGGAUAGCCCGGCGAAAGCCGGAUUAAUACCGCAUACGAUCUACGGAUGAAAGCGGGGGACCUUCGGGCCUCGCGCUAUAGGGUUGGCCGAUAGCUGAUUAGCUCGUUGGUGGGGUAAAGGCCUACCAAGGCGACGAUCAGGAGCUGAUCUGAGAGGACGACCAGCCACACUGGGACUGAGACACGGCCCAGACUCCUAAGGGAGGCAGCAGUGGGGAAUUUUGGACAAUGGGCGAAAGCCUGAUCCAGCAAUGCCGCGUGUGUGAAGAAGGCCUUCGGGUUGUAAAGCACUUUUGUCCGGAAAGAAAUCCUUGGCUCUAAUACAGUCGGGGGAUGACGGUACCGGAAGAAUAAGCACCGGCUAACUACGUG
RNAcentral lists this ribosomal RNA (486 nucleotides) under uncultured bacterium. RNAcentral describes it as "partial 16S ribosomal RNA". It matches the Rfam family "Bacterial small subunit ribosomal RNA", at positions 30 to 507 of the family's 1533-position model. The record is from RNAcentral.